Molecule: ribosomal RNA, 693 nt
Filed under: uncultured Lachnospiraceae bacterium
Lineage: Bacteria; Bacillati; Bacillota; Clostridia; Lachnospirales; Lachnospiraceae
Description: bacterial SSU rRNA
Rfam family: Bacterial small subunit ribosomal RNA
Source: RNAcentral
UCGAACGGACGAUGAAGAGCUUGCUUUUCAGAGUUAGUGGCGGACGGGUGAGUAACGCGUGGGUAACCUGCCUCAUACAGGGGAAUAGCAGCUGGAAACGGCUGAUAAAACCGCAUAAGCGCACAGCAUCGCAUGAUGCAGUGUGAAAAACUCCGGUGGUAUGAGAUGGACCCGCGUCUGAUUAGCUUGUUGGUGAGGUAACGGCCCACCAAGGCGACGAUCAGUAGCCGGCCUGAGAGGGUGACCGGCCACAUUGGGACUGAGACACGGCCCAAACUCCUACGGGAGGCAGCAGUGGGGAAUAUUGCACAAUGGGGGAAACCCUGAUGCAGCGACGCCGCGUGAAGGAAGAAGUAUCUCGGUAUGUAAACUUCUAUCAGCAGGGAAGAUAAUGACGGUACCUGACUAAGAAGCCCCGGCUAACUACGUGCCAGCAGCCGCGGUAAUACGUANGGGGCAAGCGUUAUCCGGAUUUACUGGGUGUAAAGGGAGCGUAGGCGGCGGAGCAAGUCAGAAGUGAAAGCCCGGGGCUCAACCCCGGGACGGCUUUUGAAACUGCCCUGCUUGAUUUCAGGAGAGGUAAGCGGAAUUCCUAGUGUAGCGGUGAAAUGCGUAGAUAUUAGGAGGAACACCAGUGGCGAAGGCGGCUUACUGGACUGACAAUGACGCUGAGGCUCGAAAGCGUGGGGAGCA